UCCGCGGUAGCUCAGCUGGUAGAGCGUCUCGCUGUUAACGAGAAUGUCACAGGUUCGAGUCCUGUCCGCGGAGCAA
This 76-nucleotide transfer RNA is filed under the name Candidatus Kaiserbacteria bacterium. RNAcentral describes it as "tRNA-Asn". It matches the Rfam family "tRNA". Rfam says of the family: Transfer RNA (tRNA) molecules are approximately 80 nucleotides in length. Lineage: Bacteria; Candidatus Kaiseribacteriota. The record is from RNAcentral.